CCUCCUGGCUCGGAAUGGCAGGUUCCUGCACCUCCUAGGCAUGCCGCUGGGGCCCUUGGUGGCUUCAGACCACAGAGCAGGCUGCUCAACUCCUUGGAGAGGUCUGUGACUGUGACUGCUCGGCAGCAUUAAGGAAGGCAUCACAGCAUCACUAAUCAGAUACCUGAUUGCUUUGCUCCCUCCCUUCGUGCUGAUCUAUGGAGUUGACAGUGACAGGAGGAAAAAGACCUCAGCACCUAAGAUGCAAAGUGUCGUGAGAGUCGCACAGAAGAGUCAAGAGGAGAGCUUCUGGAACCAAAAUCUCCUGGUAAAAGGUUUUCACUUCUAGAGAUAUAAACAUGAGAUGCAGAAGAGGGAAAGAACUGGGAGAAUCCCACGAGUAUAUAGUUGCUACUCUUCAUCCCCCAAUCAACUUUUAUCGAAAAAGAAAAUUAUAAAAAUUUGAAACAUAUAAAUAAAAGAUGGGGUAG
RNAcentral lists this long non-coding RNA (470 nucleotides) under Dasypus novemcinctus (nine-banded armadillo). Its description in RNAcentral is "lncRNA (ENSDNOG00000049833.1)". The record is from RNAcentral. Lineage: Eukaryota; Metazoa; Chordata; Mammalia; Cingulata; Dasypodidae.